This is a long non-coding RNA of Artibeus jamaicensis (Jamaican fruit-eating bat), 2075 nucleotides long. RefSeq lists it as uncharacterized. The record is from RefSeq and is a predicted model, not a curated record. The transcript has 3 exons. Lineage: Eukaryota; Metazoa; Chordata; Mammalia; Chiroptera; Phyllostomidae.
GGGGCUGCUUUACAUAGCCAUGGUUUUCAGAAAACUCCAGUUUCUGAAGACAGACAUCUGCCCUGGGCACCUGACUCAAGGACCGCUUUGUGGGUAACUCUGCAUGGAGGCAUCUCAUCUCUUAGAAAUCCUGUCCCCACCCUGGUUCUCCUGCUGUGUGGACCUUGGGGGUCAGCAGAAGUCAUGUUGGAGGCUGACGAUCGGAAUCUCUUUGAGGCAGAAGACAAGAUAGGAAGAAUUGGGAGAAUGCGCUGCUGUGGCCGGUCAGCGUGACUCCUGGGUAGUUGCUGUGUAAGCUCCCCCUGGCUGUCACAGGUCCCUGAGUGCUCUCACCAUCAGGUACAUCUUUUGCCUUGGGCGGCAGUCCUCUCUCCUUCAAGAAAGCUGUUUUACCCAGGGACUCCGUAACAAGGACUGCUAAGGACAACAACAUGUUUCCAGGACUAAAUGAAGAGGGGAAUCUACCUCCUGAAGCCUAAACCAAUGUCCUCUGGCCUUAAGAUUUGGGGGAGCAGAUGCAUUGCUGGGUCCAGGUGGAGGGGAUGCCAGAACGCGAUCUCAGGUAAGAGAAAUCCGCAGUUCUCGCUUGGACUCAGAUGAGGUUUCAUCUCCUCAGAUACAGUCAGUAGCAGAAGAAAAAAGCAGGCUCAUGUUUUGGAGUCAGAUAAGUGGUUCCAAAACCAGGCUGCACAUCAGAAUCCCCUGGGGAACUUUAAAAACAGAGAAACAUCUAGGCAGUACCCCAGACAUCAUGAUUCAAAAUCUCCAUGGGUGGAGUCCAGAAAUCUGCAUUUUUCGAAACUCUGAUCAGGUGGUUCUGAAGUAACGUGCCUUAAUUGGUGGCUCGGUCUUUGGGAAUCCCUGGGUUUGAUAACACUGGUCAUAUUAAUCCUUACAUAGAAAAGUGAGUAAAAGGGAGAAAGGGAAGGAGAGAACCCAAAGACAAAUAGUGGUAUUUCAACAUGGCCUUAUGUUGCUGGUAAAAUGCCUGAACUGAGAAAGGAAGUUUGACAUUUUAUAACUUAUACAGAAUGCCAAGAAUUUCUUGAACUAAGUAACAUAAAUAGGGCCUCCUUGUCCUUUUUGCUUGAGUGAUAUGUGUGACCUCCAGAGGGGUCACAUACUAAACCUGAAAGCUUAGGGGAGGCCUGCAUAGUGGUGUUAUGGGGUGCAGAGCAGGGGUCUUCUGAGGAUAGCAGAAGGUAUCCCCCACAACUUUUGACUGGGGGAGGGUAGAAGUGGAUGAUACAGCAUUAAAGAUACUUUGCAUAACAAUGGCAAGUUAAUAGCUGUGCCUUUCCUGAAGGGAGGAGGGUGAUAGGAGUAUGUCCCCCAGUCCCAGUCUGCUCAGUUACAGUGGGACUUACAAAUUCAGAGACCUGAAGUAAUCAAAUAAGGUUGUCUGAACAUAAAAAUCCCUAAGUAAAAGAGGGUCAUGGUGGUAGUCACAACUUAGGCAAGGAAUUGUGGCAAUGCUAACAAAGAAGCACCUGCUUUUGACCCAGCAAUCCCACUUCUAGAAGUCUACCUCGAAGAUAUUCCUUCUACAGUACAAAAAUAUAAAAGCAAAGGUUAUUCAUUGUAGCACUGUUUAUAAUAGUAACUAUUGGAAAUAAUAAGUGCCUGUGGUAGGCAGAAUAGCCUCCCCAUCCCUGCAAGAAAUCCAUAUUCUGAACCUGAGGAUACAUCAACUCACAUGGAAGAAAGGACUUUGCAGAUGUGGUUAACUAAAGGAUUUGGAGAUGGGGAGAUUGUCUGGAAUUACCCAGAUGGGCCAGAUGUAAUCAAAAGGGUCCCUUCAAGUGAAAGAUGGAGGCAAGAGAGUCAGAGUUAGAGAGACAUGAAGAUGUUACACUGACACUGUUGGCUUAGACAAGGAGGAAGGGAACAUGAGCCACGGAAUUCAGGGGGCCUGUAAAAAAGGCUUCUCACUAUCUGAGAAAGAACUUGCAAAUAAAGAAAGGGGAAGGGCUGGAAGGAAAUAUCAUACUGAGUUGGAAUCAGAGGUAUCAGUAUGAACUCAUGGUUUAGCACACAGGUUGGGUCAAAAGCAGGUUUACAGUUGUGAGUAUGCA